UGGUUGUAAAAAAAAAUAUAAAGUAAUUUAUCCAUAAUUAGAUGAAGCUGCUCAAAAUCGGACUUUGAACUGGACAGAAAAUCAUUUUUAAUGUGUUAGCAAAAUGUUUUCUCCAUUUGCUUUAUGUUUUAGUUUAAAGUUAGUUGGUUUUACUGUCCUUCGUAUUGCAGUUUUAAUCAGGACAUUUAAUUGUAACUGUCUAAUGUUUUUAAGACAUUGCAUCCCUGCGUUGUUAUAUUUAUAUUGUGUCUUCUAAUUGCUUAUUUAUCUUGUGUGGUCUUGUUCUUCCUUACUGUUUUUGUGAUAUUUAUGUGUUGUAUUAUUGUGAACAUCAACCUGAUGUAAUUCACCUGAAAUGUUCAAAAACAAUUGUAGCAUUGCUUUAAAGGAAGUGCUGCAUUUAUGCAGUUUGUUUUUCCA
Long non-coding RNA from Xiphophorus hellerii (green swordtail), 420 nucleotides. RefSeq lists it as uncharacterized. NCBI's taxonomy places the organism in Eukaryota, Metazoa, Chordata, Actinopteri, Cyprinodontiformes, Poeciliidae. The record is from RefSeq and is a predicted model, not a curated record. The transcript has 4 exons.